Molecule: transfer RNA, 65 nt
Filed under: Ixodes scapularis (black-legged tick)
Lineage: Eukaryota; Metazoa; Arthropoda; Arachnida; Ixodida; Ixodidae
Description: tRNA-Pro
Source: RNAcentral
CAGAAAAUAGUAUUAUAAUAAGAGUACAUAAAUUUUGGAUAUUUAAAGAGAUUAAUCUUUUCUGA